AGAGUUUGAUCAUGGCUCAGGAUGAACGCUAGCGGCAGGCUUAACACAUGCAAGUCGAGGGGUAUAGGUUUUCGGACCUAGAGACCGGCGCACGGGUGCGUAACGCGUAUGCAAUCUACCUUUUACAGAGGGAUAGCCCAGAGAAAUUUGGAUUAAUACCUCAUAGUAUUAUUGAAUGGCAUCAUUUAAUAAUUAAAGUCACAACGGUAAAAGAUGAGCAUGCGUCCCAUUAGCUAGUUGGUAAGGUAACGGCUUACCAAGGCAACGAUGGGUAGGGGUCCUGAGAGGGAGAUCCCCCACACUGGUACUGAGACACGGACCAGACUCCUACGGGAGACAGCAGUGAGGAAUAUUGGUCAAUGGGCGCAAGCCUGAACCAGCCAUGCCGCGUGCAGGAUGACGGUCCUAUGGAUUGUAAACUGCUUUUGUACAGGAAGAAACAGUUCUACGUGUAGAACCUUGACGGUACUGUAAGAAUAAGGAUCGGCUAACUCCGUGCCAGCAGCCGCGGUAAUACGGAGGAUCCAAGCGUUAUCCGGAAUCAUUGGGUUUAAAGGGUCCGUAGGCGGUUUUGUAAGUCAGUGGUGAAAGCCCAUCGCUCAACGGUGGAACGGCCAUUGAUACUGCAAGACUUGAAUUAUUAGGAAGUAACUAGAAUAUGUAGUGUAGCGGUGAAAUGCUUAGAUAUUACAUGGAAUACCAAUUGCGAAGGCAGGUUACUACUAAUGUAUUGACGCUGAUGGACGAAAGCGUGGGGAGCGAACAGGAUUAGAUACCCUGGUAGUCCACGCCGUAAACGAUGGAUACUAGCUGUUCGGAGCAAUCUGAGUGGCUAAGCGAAAGAAUCGAAUUCCCGC
This 857-nucleotide ribosomal RNA is filed under the name uncultured bacterium. RNAcentral describes it as "bacterial SSU rRNA". It matches the Rfam family "Bacterial small subunit ribosomal RNA", at positions 8 to 872 of the family's 1533-position model. The record is from RNAcentral.